RNAcentral lists this ribosomal RNA (253 nucleotides) under uncultured bacterium. RNAcentral's name for it is "partial 16S ribosomal RNA". It matches the Rfam family "Bacterial small subunit ribosomal RNA", at positions 524 to 776 of the family's 1533-position model. The record is from RNAcentral.
UACAGAGGUCUCAAGCGUUGUUCGGAUUCAUUGGGCGUAAAGGGUGUGUAGGUGGCGCCGUAAGUCGGGUGUGAAAUUUCGGAGCUUAACUCCGAAACUGCAUUCGAUACUGCGGUGCUUGAGGACUGGAGAGGAGACUGGAAUUCAUGGUGUAGCAGUGAAAUGCGUAGAGAUCAUGAGGAAGACCAGUGGCGAAGGCGGGUCUCUGGACAAUAUCUGACGCUGAGGCUCGAAGGCCAGGGUAGCGAAAGGG